RNAcentral lists this long non-coding RNA (6776 nucleotides) under Lotus japonicus. RNAcentral's name for it is "long non-coding RNA (LJAP_LNC001362)". The record is from RNAcentral. Lineage: Eukaryota; Viridiplantae; Streptophyta; Magnoliopsida; Fabales; Fabaceae.
ACUACUAGACAACGUUGGUUCAGGAAAGAAGCGCCCACUCUGCAUCACCUUUGGCUCACCCCUUGUUGGUGACAAGAAAUUACAACAAGCCAUAUCCCGUAGUGCUCAUUGGAAUUCUUGCUUUCUGCAUGUUGUGUCGCACAAAGACCCGCUUCCAAGGCUCUUCAUUGCAAAUUCCUACAUGCCUUUUGGAACAUUUCUCUUCUGUUCUGAUAAAAGUUCUACUUGUUUUGAGAACCCUGACUCUAGUUUGGAAAUUCUCGUGCAAUUGGGCUCAAUCAAUGCUCAAAGUCAAGGAAAUCAAUCUUCUGAGUACGGAAAUAUAAUUGAAAAUCUCAAACCAAUUUGCAAGGAUUUGACUACUCGGGCUGAAGACAAGUUUCAACCAGAUUCACUACUUGCUUGUAUCAGUUUGCAGUUGCAGGCACUAGGAUUGACACCACAAAUUCAGGUAUGUGAAAUUGUGAAUAUCUUCUCUUCCUUGAAAUACUUGAAUUACCCAAACUAAACUCAUUGUGUGCAAUCGGACUAGUAUUUUCUAACCAAUUUUUCACCUCAUUUCUAAAAUUGAUUUGGCAGCAGCAGCAGCAACAGAACAUUGAUAUCAAUGCUCUGGAAGCAAAGAUGAAAAAACUAGAAGAAAAGCUUAUUGUCCAAAGGAGGAUAAUAUUUGAUCCUUCCAAGAAAUUGAAUCAAAUGAAGGGACACAUGGCUCAACUUGAAUGGUACAAGAAGGAAACUAAAGAUGAGGGGAAAGGGUACUAUGACAGCUACAAGAACAUGUACUACCAAAGGGACCAUGAUGUUGUAGAGCUGCACAAAAAGCUAACCAUUUACUGGGAAAAGAUGGUUGAAGAAGCAAAGUUGAAGCCUCAGAGAGAAGGCUCCGCUUUUCGUACCCGUUAUCUCUAUGGUGGAACUACCUACAGGAGAAUGGUUGAACCAUUAGCUAUUUCUCAGUACUAUAAAGACGGGGGUGAUGACUAUAUGAAGAAGAAAAGGUCUAAGCACUUUGAACUGUUGGAGGAGUGGUUGAACGAAGCAGGUGAUAAAGAUAAAAAGAAUUUGCAGAGUACAAGUAAGAAAAAUGUGCAAGCUAUAUUAACCAUAGAUUCUUGCUUUUGGGCACAUGUUGAAGAAGCUCUCCUCUCAUGCAAAGAGUUGAAGGCUGGCAAAGAGAAAGAAGAGGCAGUGAAGAAAUUGCUUAAAUUUGAGGACUAUAUUUAUGGGGUGCUUAAGAAUUAUGAAGUGUCCCCUGAGAUUUUCUUGGAGCAAAGCAGCUUUAUGCGUUGGUGGAUUGAGUAUAAAGGAAUUAAGGGAACUUCAUAUAGUUCACCACUCGCCAGCUUCAUGAACGAUGUUGGCAAGCGUAAGGGGUAUAUUCAGGGAACUUAUGAUUUCCCCUGAAGCAUAACAACUAUAUAAUAAAGUGUGUAUCUCAGUGUAAUAGGUAACUGUAAUAAAAGUGUGUCUAUGUGUAAUAGAUUAGGUUUGCAUUGCGAAGCUAAUAACUCUUGUAUUUGAAAGCCUUAUUAUUCCAAGUGGUUUAGUUUUUUUUCUGUUGGUUAAUGUCUUUAGCAGAGCUUUUCAGAGUUCAAAGUUCGAUCAAUAAGUGUGUUUAUUACGAAACUUAAAUGGUACUCCCUCCGUCCCCUAUUAUAAGUAAUAAUUAAAUGUCCAGAUAUUUCACAUGACCAUACAUAUACAGUACAUAAACUGAUAAACAAAGUAUAUUUUAAGUCCAAUUUGUUUCAAAGGUAGACCUUAACAAACACAUGGGUGAGAUCAUCAGCUCGGUUAGCAUGGGGUGAACUUACUCAGAUGUCAAUGUCCCAUUUCCUUUCAAACAGUGUAAGAGAAGAUUUAGGUCAUGAGUUUCAUUGAUUGGAACUUGCACCUUUUGUUACAAACUCUGGUCUACUCCCAAGAUCAUGAGAUGUUAUCUCAUCUCAUCAUGUAGCCAUCGUUUCCAUCCAUUCAGGAAACAUGAGAAACGGAAGAAAAUGACAAGAUUUAAGAAUUAUAUUAAAAGCACCUUGUCUUUUAUUAUUCCUCUUACCAUGUUGUUGAUGUUGUCUCAGAACCGCGAAUCUCUCUCAAUUUAUGAUUAAAAAAAGUAGACACGGUGUGUUGACUUCACCAAAUACAAUUAUUUGCAAUGCCAUCAACCAUUUCAAAGACAUUGAUCUGCUCAUUGUUAACCAUCAUCUCAGUUAUAUGCCAAGAACUCACUGAAUCCUUGUACUUUCUCAAGCACCAUGACACAAUCUAUACUGUAUGUAAUCAAUGAAACACAACUCCUUUGGGUUUUACUGAUCAUAAAUCAAACUAACAUGAACUGCUCACUGCUGGCUCUUAUAAUUUCUAUUGGACUUUGGUUGCAGAUUUAGCAGUGGAAUCGAGCUUGCGCCUUUUGUGAUAAGCUCGGGACUUCUUCGUAGAUCAUGGAAUGUUAUCUCAUCUCAACAUGAAGGCAUCAUUUCAAACGUCGGAGUGGGACUGUCAUGGAAAGUUUAUAAAGAACCGGAUACGGAUGUGGUGAUUGUAGCGUUUGAGGCCACCACAGAUUCUUCUAAUCUUCAACCUGAUUUGGUUUCAUCUUCUGAACUCAAGGAGAAUAAUAUCCUUCACUUUGAUUUUCUGUGUAGCAAGAAAAAUCCAGUUUUCUCUUUUAACAGCACUGCAGUUUCACUCUUCAAUGAAAAUUUUCAGAAGAUUGAUCAGUUGAAAUCUGAGGUACAGAUCCUUUUCAUUACUCUAUGAAUCUGUUGAUUUCGAUUGGAAAAUUUGCAAGGUGGGGAAAUCAUUAGUAUAAUUUAAUUUUGAACUCUGCAUGUACUCCUAAUUUCUGCUUGCCGAAAUAUUUAGGGAUUGAAUUGAGCUGUUUGACUUCCCAAUUAGUCAUGAUGAUCACCAAAAUAUCAUAUUGCUUAGCCUUACAUUGAUUUCACUGAGAAGUCAAAAAAAAAAAAAAAAGGAAAGAAAAUCAGAAGAGUUUUUAUUUUGCAUAUAAGUACUCUGAUGAUAUCUCAUGUCUGCAUUUUUCUGUUCUCAAUUUGCAAAUCUACUUCCCUUUCAUAGACAAUGGCCUUAAAAAUGGGAACAAGCCAGAUUUCUAGUUGGGAAUGUAAUAUAGGUUAGUGCCUGUCGUCUUGUUGUUAUGGUUUCGAACUAAUGAUUGAACGAUUGACAUGUAUCAGAGGUGUGGUUGUACAAUGAUAUAAGAGGAAUUCGGUGUAUAAAAUUCAGGGUUGCUUUACAAAACCUGACAUGAGAAAAGGGAUUCGGGGGAUGAAUUAAGAAUAUGUAUGAAAUAUGAGUGUGAUAUUUUUGUUCCAAAUGCACACAUUCAUGUUUAUAUUUGAAAAGCAAAUUUAUGUUUAUCUUUGUUCCAGACAUGUUAUCAAUCUCUCUAACCACAGUCUUUUCUGCAAAAGAGAUCUUGAGAAGAGAGUUUUAGGUGAGGGUUACAACCUCCAAACUUCAGGGUGUCUGUACAUCUUCUGGUUGUCUCUAGGCAUAUAUUGUUGUUUGUUCCUCCCCAGCACUCCCUUAUAUAAUUAACAAUCUUAAUGCAGAUUAAUACUUCCAAGUUAAUUGUUACUGGAGAUGCUCUUGGAGGGUGUAUUGCUUCUCUCUUCACGAUAUCAGACUCCUUUGGUUCAGGAAAGAAGCGCCCACUCUGCAUCACAUUUGGUUCACCCCUUGUUGGUGACAAGAAAUUGCAACAAGCCAUAUCCCUAGGGGUGAAAUGUAAUUCUUGCUUUCUACACGUUGUGUCACACAAAGAUCCACUUCCAAGUCUCUUCAUUACGAAUUCAGCCAGUGCCUACGUGCCUUUCGGAACAUUUCUAUUGUGUUCUGAUGCAAGUUCUACUUGUUUUGACAACCCUGACUCUAUUCUGGAACUUCUCGUGACAUUGGGCUCAAUCCAUGCUCAAAAUGAAGGAUUUCAAUCUGCUGAAUACGGCAAUAUAGUGGGAAAUCACAAUCUUGAAGCAAUCUGCUAUGAUUUUACAGCAAAGUCUGAAGACUCAACUCAUCCAGCAGAUUCUCUAGCAAGUAGUAUCAGUUUGCAGUUACAGGCACUACAAUUGACACCACGUAUGCAGGUAGGUUCUUAUCUUCCUUGAAGUACUGUAAUUAUCCAAAUGAGUCUUAUUUAGACUCAUUUUGUGCAAUCGGAUUAGUGUUUUGUUUUUGCAACCGUAAAUGCAACUUUUUCGAACCUCAUUUCUAAAAUUGAUAUGGCAGCAACAACAAAAACAGAAUAUUUACAUCAAUAUUCUGGAAACAAAGAAACAGCAGAGGUGGAAAUCAUUUGAUCCAUUCAAGCAAUUGACUCAAAUCAAGUUUUAUAUUUCUGUACUUGAAUGGUACAAGAGGGAAACUAAUAAUGGGCCAAUAGGGUGCUAUGACAGCUUCAAGAACAAGAACUCAACAUCGGACCAUGAUGUUAUUUAUUUUCAUAAAAAGCUGACAUUUUACUGGGAAAAGGUUGUUGAAGAAGAAAACAGGAUGCCUCGGAGAGAAGGUGCAGCUUUUCGUAACCGCUGGCUCUAUGGUGGGACUGCUUACAGGAGAAUGGUUGAACCCUUAGCUAUUGGCGAAUACUAUAAAGAUGGGGGUGAAGACUAUGUGACCAAGGGAAGGUCUGAACACUUCAAACAGUUGGAGGAUUGGUUAAAGGAAGCGAUGUCUUGGGUAAAAAGGGAUUUUGAGAGUACAAGUAAGAAGAAUGUGAAAGCUAUUCUCACCAAAGAUUCAUGCUUUUGGGCACAUGUGGAAGAGGCUAACCUUUCAUGCAAAGAGUUGAAGGGCAAAGAGAAAGAAGAGGCAUCGAAGAAAUUGGUUGAUUUUGAGGAGUAUGUUUAUGAGUUGCUUAAGAAUUAUGCAGUGUCCCCUGAGAUUUUCUUGGAAAAAAGUAGCUUUAUGCGUUGGUGGGUUGAGUAUAAAGGAAUUAAGGGAACUUCAUAUAGUUAACCACUCACCAUCUUCAUGAACGAUGCUAGAAACCGUGAGCAGUAUGCUUUGGGAGCCUAUGAUUUCCCUUGAAGUAUGAUAACUAGCCAAAUAAUGAAGUGUGUAUCUCAGUGUAAUAGAGAACUAUGUAAUAUAAGUGUGUGUCUAUGUGUAAUAGAUUAAGGUUUACAUUGCAAAGCUAAUAACUCUUGUUUUUGGAAGCCUUAUUAUUCGAAGUGGUUUGGUUUCUUUCUGUUGAUUGAUGUAUUUAGAAGAGAUUUUCAUAGGGACAGGGGGCAGUUGCUCUUGCCCCUCCAGAUCUUUUUCACUCUUAUGUUUCACAUGGUGAUUGUAGUGUUUGAGACCGCCACUGAUUCUUCUAAUCUUCAAGCGGAUUUGAUUUCAUUUUCUGAGCUCAGGGAGAAGAAGAAAUUCCUGCACUUGGAUUUUCUGUGUAGCAAGAACAAUCGAGUUUUCUCUUUUAACAGCACGGCAGUUUCACUCUUCUAUGAAAAUUAUCACAAGAUUGAUCAGUUGAAAUCCAAGGUACAUCUCCUUUUCAUUACUCUGUGAAUCUGUUGAUUUCAAUUGAAAAUUUUGCAAGGUGGGAAAUUAUUAGCUUAAUUUUGAUCUAAUUGAAUUUUGAACUGCAUUAACAACUAAUUUCUGCAAAUCUAGGGUUUGGUAUGUGGAACGGUCCAGCUUAUUAACACUCUUGAAUUGAGCUGUUUGACUUCCCAAUUAUAGCAUGUUAGGAAAUGAAAUCCACCUACAAUUGAUUCUAAAAUUAUAAUUGGUUUUAGGGAGAAGCUUCUGUGAGUAAGUUCUAUGUGCCAGAAAUGAUUCUCGGAUAAAAGUAAUUCGGGGGACGAAAUAAGAACAGGUCUGAAAUAGGAGUGUGACAUUUUUGUUCCAAAUAUGCACAUUCAUGUUUAUAUUUGAAAAGCAAAUUCAUGUUUAUUAUUGUUCCAGACAUGUUAUCAAUCUCUCUAACAACAAUUUUUUAUGCAAAAGAGAUCUUGAGAAGAAAGUUUUAGGCGAGGGUUACUGUUUAGAACAGAAACGCGAAGGGUGUUUGUCUGUACAUCUUCUGGUUGUCUCUAGGCAUAUAUUGUUUGUUCUUCCCCAGCACUCCCUUAUAUAAUUAACAAUCUUCAUUAAUGGAGAUUAAUAUUUCCAAGUAUUGUUACGGUACAGGAGAUGCUCUUGGAGGAUGUGUUGCGUCUCUCUUCACGAUAUCACUAUUGGCCUCCUUUGGUUCAGGAAAGAAUCGCCCACUUUGCAUCACCUUUGGUUCACCCCUUGUUGGUGACAAGAAAUUGCAACAAGCCAUAUCCCUGGGCUGAAAUGCAAUUCUUGCUUUCUACAUGUUGUGCCACACAAUGACCCACUUCUAAGGAUCUUCAUUACAAAUUCAUCCAGUUCCCACAUGCCUUUCAGAACAUUUCUAUUGUGUUCUGAUGCAGGUUCUACUUAUUUUGACAACCCUGGCUCUACUCUGGAUUCCACUCGCCACUCGCCAGCUUCAUGAACGAUGCUAGAAACCGUGAGCAGUAUGCUUUGGGAGCCUAUGAUUUUCCCUGAAGUGUAAAAACCAAAUAAUGAAGUGUGUAUCUCAGUGUAGAUAACUAUGUGCAAGGUUGUAAGACUCGAGAGUCUACGCAAACUCGCUUUGGGGAAGUAAACUCGUUUCAUCGAGUUAACUCGUAGACUCGUAAGAGUCUACCAAAAUAAAUACCUUGAUAAAACUUGUCAUGGUGUAUAAAGAAUACAUACUACAACCACUAAGGAGACAUUAACCAAAUAAAUUCAAC